GAUAAACGCUGGCGGCGCACAUAAGACAUGCAAGUCGAACGGACUUAACCUAUAGUUUACUAUUGGAGCGGUUAGUGGCGGACUGGUGAGUAACGCGUAAGCAAUCUGCCUAUCAGAGGGGAAUAACAGUGAGAAAUCACUGCUAAUACCGCAUAAGCUGUGAGUAUCGCAUGAUACAAGCAGAAAGGAGCAAUCCGCUGAUAGAUGAGCUUGCGUCUGAUUAGUUAGUUGGUAGGGUAACGGCCUACCAAGACGAUGAUCAGUAGCCGGACUGAGAGGUUGAACGGCCACAUUGGGACUGAGAUACGGCCCAG
Molecule: ribosomal RNA, 314 nt
Filed under: uncultured bacterium
Lineage: Bacteria
Description: bacterial SSU rRNA
Rfam family: Bacterial small subunit ribosomal RNA
Source: RNAcentral